GCACGAGAAAGGGUAGCAAUACCUGAGUACAGUGGCGCACGGGUGAGUAACACGUGAAUUAUCUACCUCCGAGUGGGGAAUAACUGAGAGAAAUCUUAGCUAAUACCGCAUAACACUUACGAGUCAAAGCAGCAAUGCGCUUGGAGAGGAGUUCGCGGCCGAUUAGUUAGUUGGCGGGGUAAUGGCCCACCAAGACGAUGAUCGGUAUCCGGCCUGAGAGGGCGCACGGACACACUGGAACUGAAACACGGUCCAGACUCCUACGGGAGGCAGCAGUGGGGAAUUUUGCGCAAUGGGGGAAACCCUGACGCAGCAACGCCGCGUGGAGGAUGAAAUCCCUUGGGAUGUAAACUCCUUUCGAUCGGGACGAUUAUGACGGUACCGGAAGAAGAAGCCCCGGCUAACUUCGUGCCAGCAGCCGCGGUAAUACGAGGGGGGCGAGCGUUGUUCGGAAUUAUUGGGCGUAAAGGGUGCGUAGGCGGUUUGAUAAGUCUUGUGUGAAAUCUCUGGGCUCAACCCAGAGUUUGCACAGGAAACUGUCGGGCUUGAGUAUGGGAGAGGUGAGUGGAAUUUCCGGUGUAGCGGUGAAAUGCGUAGAUAUCGGAAGGAACACCUGUGGCGAAAGCGGCUCACUGGACCAUUACUGACGCUGAUGCACGAAAGCUAGGGGA
RNAcentral lists this ribosomal RNA (671 nucleotides) under uncultured bacterium. RNAcentral describes it as "bacterial SSU rRNA". It matches the Rfam family "Bacterial small subunit ribosomal RNA", at positions 64 to 767 of the family's 1533-position model. The record is from RNAcentral.